ACCCAGCUCCGCGCCGCAGGGUCAGACUCUCUUCCUUUCUCAUCAGUUGUGCAUAAAACACCUUCCGGUCUUUUCUCCGUGCGAUUCUUGCGGCAGGUGUGACCUUUCUUUGCGUGGCGACUCUGGUGCCGGGUUGAUUACCUCUGGUUAAAUUCAUCGGUGGUUCUGGUGGGAAUGAAUCAUUCGAUAAUCUUGUAAUUCAAGCUCCACAGCUUAUGAGGGAGGAUUACAUACAGAAUGCUGUGAAGUUUCUUUCACAUCCGAAAGUGAAGGGUUCUCCAGUAUUUCACAGGCGUUCCUUCCUGGAAAAGAAAGGCCUUACAAGUGAAGAAAUUGAUGAGGCCUUUUGUAGAGUUCCUGACCCUAAGCCAAAUGGAACAGAUGCUGUAGCUGCUGGUAGGCAACAAGCAAACAAUCCCAGUCAAUCUGUUGUGCUGCAACCUUAUACAGAAGUUCAACCACAAGCAGCUACUGCCUCUGCCACUGCUGGACCAAUUGUUCCACAUACAAAGGCACAGUUGAGCUGGGUAAACACACUCCUUGGUGCAGGUCUUUUUCUUGGUUUAGGGGCUAGUGCUGCCAUAACCCUAAAGAAAUUGGUCAUCCCUAGUCUGAAAUCUUGGACUCGUAGAGUCGUUGCUGAAGGAGAUGAAAAUGCAAAGAGUGAACAUACUUCCAAACUUUGUGAAGAAAUUAGGGAAGCCAUAAAAGUUUCUGCAUCAGCCUUUUCUGAUAUUGCUAAAAUAAACCAAGAAGUGCUUGCUUCAAAAGAUGAAGAUAGGAAGGUACUCAUGAAGUUAACAGAAGCAUUCGAGUCACAAGAAAAUGUGUUUAAAUCAUUGAGUGAGACCUUAAAUCGUAUCAGGGAGAAUCAGCUUUCGGAUUGCAAUUUCAGAAAUUUUGGGCUGCUCAAUUCAGCCCUCAUUACCCUUUUGCCAAAGCUUGAGGGUGCAGCCCUUGUGAAGGACUUCCGUCCGAUCAGCCUCAUACAUAGCUUCGCCAAGCUGGUAACAAAGAUGAUGGCAAAUAGGCUGGCUGGACACUUGGGUGCAAUGGUUUCACCCAAUCAGACGGCUUUUAUCAAAAAAAGGUUCAUUCUUGACAACUUCAUAUUGGUGCAGCGUACGGCCAGAUAUCUCCAUCAACAAAGACAGGCUCGUAUCCUCUUCAAGUUAGACAUUUCUAAGGCUUUUGAUUCGGUGUCAUGGCCGUUUCUCAUUGAGGUUUUGAGGAAAAUGGGGUUUGGGCAGAUUUGGUGUGAUGUUGUGUGUGGACUGUUGGCUUCUUCCUCCACAAGAAUUUUGCUAAAUGGCGUUCCUGGGGAGAUCAUUUCACACCAGAGGGGCCUUAGGCAAGGAGACCCACUAUCCCCUUUGUUGUUCAUUUUGGUUAUGGAUGUUCUGAACUUGCUCAUUCAAAAGGCUUCCGAUGAAGGGUUACUUCAGCAGCUAUCUUCUGGGACUUUACAUCACAGGCUUUCUCUCUACGCGGAUGACGCGGUGGUUUUUCUUAGGCCGGUGGCUUCAGACAUCAGCUUGGUCCUGGAGAUCCUUCGGCUUUUUGGGGAAGCCUCGGGGCUCAAGACCAAUGUCCUGAAAAGUAGUGUGUUCCCCAUUCGUUGUACCGAAGAUGAUUUGAUGCGGGUCCAAGCUUCUCUCCCCUGCCCCAUUUCUGAUUUUCCGUGUCAAUAUCUUGGACUGCCCCUGUCCUUGGGAAAGCUUUCAAAGGCCCAGUUACAGGCAUUGGUGGACAAGGCAGCUAGUGUUCUCCCAGGUUGGAAGGCCGACCUGAUGACAAAGGCGGGUCGUGCUGUUUAUGUUCAGUUUGUUCUCACGGCAAAAAUGAUUUAUGCUGCGAUGGCUUUGGACCUCCCUAUUUGGACCAUCAAAGCUAUUGACAAGAUAAGAAGAGGUUUCCUUUGGAAAGGAAGAAAACAAGCCAAUGGUGGUCACUGUUUAGUGGCGUGGGGCAAGGUCACUAGGCCUAAAGUUCUGGGCGGCCUUGGGAUCACUGAUCUUUGGCUUUUGAGCGUGGCGCUUCGAGCUAGGUGGCCUUGGCUCCAGAGAACCGAUCACUCUAAGCCUUGGUCGGUUCUCCCUGUUCAGGCAUGUGGUGCGGUGGAAGCCUUGAUCAAUGUUGCAGUUGUGUCUCAAUUGGGUGAUGGACAGGAUAUCCUCUUUUGGAAGGAUCGGUGGCUGAAUGGUAGAAGAAUCAGUGAGGUGGCACCUGAGGUUCUUGAGCAUGUACCUAAGUGUGUUGUUUCCAAAAGGCUGGUAAAAGAUGCUUUAACAAAUCUGAAUUGGGUGGCUGAUAUAAGGGGUGCGCUUUCAGUUAGGGCGCUUGCACAGGUUUUGGAUCUCUGUGACUUGCUGGAGGGCUUAGUUCUUCAACCUGGGAUUCCUGAUAAGCAUUCUUGGAAGUUCAGCGCGUCGGGGGAUUACUCCUCUAGUUCUGCCUACCAGGUUCUUCUCCUUGGAGCUGUUGAAUUUAGGCCGGCUGAACGGAUUUGGAAGACCUGGGCACCAAGGAAAUGCAAAUUUUUUAUGUGGCUGGUUGUGCAUGAUAGAUGUUGGACAGCUGACAGGUUGGCAAAAAGGGGAAUGGAUCAUCCCGUCUGCUGUCCGCUUUGUGACCAGGCGGAUGAAACUAUUAAUCACUUAUUGGUCGAGUGCAGCUUUGCGAAGCAGUUUUGGUUCCUUUUCCUUCGGUCUGGGGACUUCCAGGUGCUCUGUCCCUCUACAGGGGAUGGCUGCUUUGACUCUUGGUGGGAGAAGAGUGCCGAGGUGGUGGGCAAGCCUUUGUCGGGUGGUUUCAACUCGCUGGUCAUAUUGGGUGCGUGGUCGAUCUGGAAACACAGGAAUAGGUGUGUGUUUGAUGGUUGUAGCCCGAAUGUUGAGGUCGCCCUUUCGGCAGCUAGGGAGGAGUUGAUGUGCUGGCGUUUGGCUGGCGCUAAAACUCUCUCUUUCUUCCAUUUAGAGGAGCUGUCUUAGGCGUUAAUGGUGGUGUGAGUUUGUAAAACUGUUGUUUCUGUUUUGGGGUUCCCCCCUUUUUUCUUCUUAAUAUAAAAAUACGCAGACCUCCUGCGUAUUCAAGAAAAAAACAACACAGCCUAUUGGAAGAGCAUGUUCAGCCUUCAUCAUGGAACGGGCCAAUUGACUAUCAAGGGAGAGCUUUUCAGCAAACUAAUAUGUAUGCAACACCACCAAACAACAGUUUUGACACAGGGAGGAACUCAUUCAUGCCAUUAGCUGCUGAAUCUUCUUAUGGACCAUUUCCAGGAUCCUACUCUGAGCAGCGGGUGCAGAGGCCUGGUGGAUACGGAUUCCAGCAACAGACAAGCAGCGACCGAUUGAAUGUUGUUGGCCCACGGAGCAGCUACCAAGGGGGUUCUUCUAAUCACCAUGCUGGUAGUAAUGCCAUGGAUGACCCGGCAGCGGUUGCAGCAGAAUUGCAGCGCCGCUGGGUUCCCCCACAGCCACCAGGCGUCAUCAUGCCAGAGGCUGCGGCCGCCAUCCGACAGGCCAGGUCGGUUCCGAGGCAGCUGCCAAGCGGCGAUGGGCGCCUGGGCGCUGAUGUCCCGAGACAGCCUGAGCCUGCCAUUGCCAUGGCGACAACAGAGCACGUGAACGUUGCCCCUGAAGCACCUGGCGGGGAGUUGCCAAGCGAUGGUGGUGGUGCCAUGACUGCUGAUGCCAGCAACGGUGGUGGGAGUGGAGAGCAGCAGGAGCAGGAAGCCUCUUGAGUGAAGCUUUUUGGACGCCCUUUGAUUUGGUUCUUUGAGAGGAUCUAGCUUGCACCUGUACCUGUGUGUGUAGCAUAUGCAUAUGCAUCUGCAUAGGUUUGUGACAUAAUGUGCCUCGUGUUCGAAACUGCAGCUGUAUUGUAGAUAUAUAAACUGAUCAACUUUACACGUGUGUUACCUGUGUGUUCUGUCA
Zea mays is the source of this 3935-nucleotide RNA transcript. It is a transcript of the gene named peroxin Pex14, with no coding region annotated. NCBI's taxonomy places the organism in Eukaryota, Viridiplantae, Streptophyta, Magnoliopsida, Poales, Poaceae. The transcript has 10 exons. The record is from RefSeq and is marked validated.